Molecule: long non-coding RNA, 908 nt
Filed under: Gossypium barbadense (sea-island cotton)
Lineage: Eukaryota; Viridiplantae; Streptophyta; Magnoliopsida; Malvales; Malvaceae
Description: long non-coding RNA (GBAR_LNC007738)
Source: RNAcentral
UCUUAAAUACUCAAUCUGUUAAAAAAUAAACAAAAUUUCUCAAAACAAUUUCGAACAACAAAUAAAUUACUUAAAUAAAAAAUUAAUUAAUCAAUAUGCAAUUUUUUUCAUUCAUAAGCUCAGACUUUUUCAGUUCCUAUUGUUAUAGGCCAAUUUCGGCCUGUUUACAAUCAAACCCGAGUGGCCCAAUAACCCAAUUACCAGCUCAAAUUAAACUAAACAUAACCCAAGCUAAAUUGAACCCAAUACCCACCAAAAAUAACAGCCCAAACAACAAUAGCCCAAAUCUAAACCCUAGCCCAACUAGCCCAAAAGAAAAAAAAACACACAAAGCAAUUCUGAAACCCUAGCCGCAAGCCUCAACCACCCCCUUCUGCCCUAACCACCCUCUGCCACCACCACUGUGGCCACCAUCCCUCUGCACCUGCAAAAUUAGAGAAAGAAAAGACAGCAAAUAUUGAAGAAAAUUUUGAUGUAAAAUGGCUAUUAAAAGCCAAGCAAAAUAUGGUAAAAGGGGGAGGACUAUUUUUUGCAUCAAAAAAAAAAAGGAGAUUUUUACUCAACAAACGGAAUAAAGGCAUAGAUUAACACCAAAAAUAGUAAGAACAAAAGGAAUCAAAAGCACCAAGCCAAAUCAGAGGUGAUUUCUUAUUUAGUUUUUCUUAUUUCGUUUCGGAUCUUGGUUACAUUAUUUAUCUUUUGUUUCAUAUAUACAUAUAUAUAUAAAAUAAACAAAGAAAAAAUAAAUAUAAAUAAAAAAAAUACGUACUUAUCGGAAUUCUGCCACCGCACGCGGUGACCGGCGACGGCGAAGACAGCGGUGGAUCACCGGAGUUGCCUCGCCGGAAUCUGGACCUGCAGAGAAAACAAAGAGAGAGUUUAAUUUUUUUUAGAAACUGGUAACAAAU